CGAAAGUCUGACGGAGCAACGCCGCGUGAGUGAUGAAGGUUUUCGGAUCGUAAAGCUCUGUUGUUAGGGAAGAACAAGUGCAAGAGUAACUGCUUGCACCUUGACGGUACCUAACCAGAAAGCCACGGCUAACUACGUGCCAGCAGCCGCGGUAAUACGUAGGUGGCAAGCGUUGUCCGGAAUUAUUGGGCGUAAAGGGCUCGCAGGCGGUUUCUUAAGUCUGAUGUGAAAGCCCCCGGCUCAACCGGGGAGGGUCAUUGGAAACUGGGAAACUUGAGUGCAGAAGAGGAGAGUGGAAUUCCACGUGUAGCGGUGAAAUGCGUAGAGAUGUGGAGGAACACCAGUGGCGAAGGCGACUCUCUGGUCUGUAACUGACGCUGAGGAGCGAAAGCGUGGGGAGCGAACAGGAUUAGAUACCCUGGUAGUCCACGCCGUAAACGAUGAGUGCUAAGUGUUAGGGGGUUUCCGCCCCUUAGUGCUGCAGCUAACGCAUUAAGCAC
RNAcentral lists this ribosomal RNA (500 nucleotides) under Bacillus sp. CR65. RNAcentral's name for it is "bacterial SSU rRNA". It matches the Rfam family "Bacterial small subunit ribosomal RNA", at positions 376 to 867 of the family's 1533-position model. The record is from RNAcentral. Lineage: Bacteria; Bacillati; Bacillota; Bacilli; Caryophanales; Bacillaceae.